AGUGAACGCUGGCGGCAGGCCUAACACAUGCAAGUCGAACGGCAGCACGGCAGUAGCAAUACUGUGGGUGGCGAGUGGCGGACGGGUGAGGAAUACAUCGGGAUCUACCCUGUUGUGGGGGAUAACGUAGGGAAACUUACGCUAAUACCGCAUAAGAACUGAGGUUGAAAGCGGCGGACCGCAAGGCGUCGCGCGAUUGGAUGAACCGAUGUCCGAUUAGCUAGUUGGCGGGGUAAAGGCCCACCAAGGCGACGAUCGGUAGCUGGUCUGAGAGGACGACCAGCCACACUGGAACUGAGACACGGUCCAGACUCCUACGGGAGGCAGCAGUGGGGAAUAUUGGACAAUGGGCGCAAGCCUGAUCCAGCCAUGCCGCGUGGGGUGAAGAAGGCCUUCGGGUUGUAAAGCCCUUUGUUCCGGAAGAAAGACAUUCGGUUAAUACCCGGGUGUUCUGACGGUACCGGAAGUAUAAGCACCGGCUAACUUCGUGCCAGCAG
Molecule: ribosomal RNA, 497 nt
Filed under: uncultured bacterium
Lineage: Bacteria
Description: bacterial SSU rRNA
Rfam family: Bacterial small subunit ribosomal RNA
Source: RNAcentral